RNAcentral lists this ribosomal RNA (508 nucleotides) under uncultured bacterium. RNAcentral's name for it is "partial 16S ribosomal RNA". It matches the Rfam family "Bacterial small subunit ribosomal RNA", at positions 28 to 507 of the family's 1533-position model. The record is from RNAcentral.
GACGAACGCUGGCGGCGUGCCUAAUACAUGCAAGUCGAACGCUUCUUUCCUCCCGAGUGCUUGCACUCAAUUGGAAAGAGGAGUGGCGGACGGGUGAGUAACACGUGGGUAACCUACCCAUCAGAGGGGGAUAACACUUGGAAACAGGUGCUAAUACCGCAUAACAGUUUAUGCCGCAUGGCAUAAGAGUGAGAGGCGCUUUCGGGUGUCGCUGAUGGAUGGACCCGCGGUGCAUUAGCUAGUUGGUGAGGUAACGGCUCACCAAGGCCACGAUGCAUAGCCGACCUGAGAGGGUGAUCGGCCACACUGGGACUGAGACACGGCCCAGACUCCUACGGGAGGCAGCAGUAGGGAAUCUUCGGCAAUGGACGAAAGUCUGACCGAGCAACGCCGCGUGAGUGAAGAAGGUUUUCGGAUCGUAAAACUCUGUUGUUAGAGAAGAACAAGGACGUUAGUAACUGAACGUCCCCUGACGGUAUCUAACCAGAAAGCCACGGCUAACUACGUG